GACGAACGCUGGCGGCGUGCCUAAUACAUGCAAGUCGAACGCAGUGGGGACGGGUGAGUAACACGUGGGUAACCUCCCAUCAGAGGGGAUAACACUUGGAAACAGGUGCUAAACCGAUACUGAUGGAUGGAUCCGCGGUGCCUUAGCUAGUUGGUGAGGUAACGGCUCACCAAGGCCACGAUGCAUAGCCGACCUGAGAGACUGAUCAGCCACACUGGGACUGAGACACGGCCACGACUCCUACGGGAGGCAGCAGUGGGGAAUAUUGCACAAUGGGCGCAAGCCUGAUGCAGCCAUGCCGCGUGUAUGAAGAAGGCCUUCGGGUUGUAAAGUACUUUCAGUCGGGAGGCGUUACCGACAGAAGAAGCACCGGCUAACUCCGUGCCAGCAGCCGCGGUAAUAC
This 403-nucleotide ribosomal RNA is filed under the name uncultured bacterium. RNAcentral describes it as "partial 16S ribosomal RNA". It matches the Rfam family "Bacterial small subunit ribosomal RNA", at positions 28 to 526 of the family's 1533-position model. The record is from RNAcentral.